CCUACGGGAGGCUGCAGUGGGGAAUAUUGGGCAAUGGGCGCAAGCCUGACCCAGCAACGCCGCGUGAAGGAAGAAGGCUUUCGGGUUGUAAACUUCUUUUCUCAGGGACGAAGCAAGUGACGGUACCUGAGGAAUAAGCCACGGCUAACUACGUGCCAGCAGCCGCGGUAAUACGUAGGUGGCAAGCGUUAUCCGGAGUGACUGGGGGGAAAGGGCGUGUAGGCGGGACUGCAAGUCAGAUGUGAAAACCACGGGCUUAACCUGGGGCUGGCAUUUGAAACUGUAGUGCUUGAGUACUGGAGAGGCAGACGGAAUUCCUAGUGUAGCGGUGAAAUGCGUAGAUAUUAGGAGGAACAC
RNAcentral lists this ribosomal RNA (357 nucleotides) under uncultured bacterium. RNAcentral describes it as "partial 16S ribosomal RNA". It matches the Rfam family "Bacterial small subunit ribosomal RNA", at positions 338 to 709 of the family's 1533-position model. The record is from RNAcentral.